Monopterus albus (swamp eel) is the source of this 1013-nucleotide long non-coding RNA. RefSeq lists it as uncharacterized. The transcript has 4 exons. Lineage: Eukaryota; Metazoa; Chordata; Actinopteri; Synbranchiformes; Synbranchidae. The record is from RefSeq and is a predicted model, not a curated record.
ACAAGACAAGUCGGUUAGUGAAUAUGGCAGAAACAGCUGACGCUUACAACUGUCACUAACCUGACAAACAUUAUUCAUAUUAAUAAAUAUAUGAUUUGGCUGGUAAUGUACAGCUGACAACCCCAUAUUACCCAGCAGGUCUGCUGUCCUGAGCUCAAUCAACUACAACUAUACAAAUAAGCCAAAAGAUUCGCAUAACCGGAUGUAAACAACAUAACUGCGAUAAGCCCAAUGCUAAUGCUAACUAAGGUAGCUCAAUGCUAACAUAGACUACAGGUCAUAUAUUUAUACAGCUAACUGUAUGGCUAAUAAAUGUGUAACUUCGCCGAGGUUCGCUAAAUGAAUGUCAACGUGUCGAGUGUCGUCUGAGAUAUUAACCCACGAUUCCACCAACGGUAGCUAAAUAUACGGAAACGACCCUGACUUGUGGACUACAACUACCAGGAGAAACCGGAAGGUUUCUCCAACUGUGUCACCUGACGAGCAGGAGCCCACAGCAGCCCUCUCCCCUGGGACACCAUGAGAAUACUGUCUCCAGAAAUAGAGGUCUCUUCCUCUCCUUCCAUCUUGCGCUUCUAGUGACAGGGCGGCUGAUGCACUUUCAUGUCCAGCAGGCUGCACCACUGUAGUGCUCUCCUGUCUGCUGUACCCGAUAUAGAAACAAAACAGAGCCAAAAGGAGAGAGCACAUUACUGUUUUAAAGUCCUUACAUUAGUUGUCUGUCAGUUACUCUAUUGAUUUUAAAAUUCUUUUACUGCCUACUUGUCUGACGUGCUUCCAGUGUGUGAACCAGGAUGGCCUUUUAGGUCCUCUGGAGCUUUGAGUCUCUUAGUUGUUUCAAAGUGCAGGGGAAAUUGCUGUAUUUGGUGAGGAAGCUUUUAGUUUUUAUACUGUGAGUCUUUGGAACAGUCUGAUGACGUGAGAUCAUCUGAAAGUGUGGAUGUUUUUAGAGACACACUUACCUCUCUACCCUGGCUUUUUAUUAGAAUAUUUUACGGCUCUUCUUUAAUUUA